UGCGGGAUCGUCUAACGGUAGGACAGUGGCCUUUGAAGCCAUUUAUCCAGGUUCGAAUCCUGGCCCCGCAG
Parcubacteria group bacterium CG2_30_48_51 is the source of this 71-nucleotide non-coding RNA. The record is from Rfam.